RNAcentral lists this long non-coding RNA (1094 nucleotides) under Anser brachyrhynchus (Pink-footed goose). RNAcentral describes it as "lncRNA (ENSABRG00000012251.1)". Lineage: Eukaryota; Metazoa; Chordata; Aves; Anseriformes; Anatidae. The record is from RNAcentral.
UUCCGUCUUCUCUUUUUCUUUUCCUUUUCCUUUAGUAAUCUCAUGUUCUGCAGAAUUAAUUUGAAUAAAGAGAGUGGACUGUAAAAUAACUUGUGGGACAGUUUGAUAAGCUGCCUUUAACUUCCCACUCACACUGAAAAUCCCUCCUUGACAUGUCUCAAACCCAAACAAUUCCUCCCAGAUGCAGUUCAGAUGGUCUGGGUCCACCAGACACAAGUUUUGUGCACCAGUGCACUUCUUCUAAUGAACAUGCAAUUUCUUUCGCAGUGCAAUUAUGACAGUACAGCUGGGGACCAGACAUGCAAAGCGAUGCUUUUCUUCCAGCCUGGGAAACUACAAAUACUUGCUUUGUUCCAGAUUUGAACUGAGUUGGCAAAUUGGAGUGAGGCAGAAAUGGGUGAAAAGGGUGCCCUCCCAAAGCAGAAAGGAGCCAGAUGGAGUGAUACCAAAGAUGGAAUGAAAAAGCUACAGUUUGUGGGCUCUGUAGAAAGAAGCAGAAAACUGAAGGGCGCAAAUAUAGGUGGAGAUGCAGUAAAGUAAAAGAGAACAUAACGAAGAGAAAUGGACAAGACUAAGAGAAAGUUUAUGCCCAAUACCAUGGAAGAGGUAUCCUGCUGUUGACAUCUGCUAGGCUCAGGAGGAGUCUCCCUCAGAAAGAUGUAGAAAUUCCUUCACUCAACACAUUUAAAAAUAGACUAAACAAACCCCAGUGAGCCAGACUCUCAUCCUCUUACUCACACGGGGCCGUAACUCACUCCAGCAGUCGUUCUUUUGAAGCCUGGGAAUCCUUGCAGGCUGAGAGGGGUUGAGCUGGAUGCAAGGCAGAAAUCUGGUCCCGGGUGCUGCAAGGAGCGAUCCUGCAUCGUAGCAGACAUGAAUCAGAUGAAUGAUCGGCUCUUUUCACAUCGGACACACUGCACUGGCACAUGCCUUCCUGUAUAGUUAUGAACUCAAGGAAGAGACUUAAAGCAAAGCAUGUGUUAAAAAGAUUUGCAGAAGCUGCAGGAGGGCUGCAUACAGGAAAAUACAGGAGUGCUCUGUCUCAAUUCCAUCCAACCUCAGCAGAGCUCUAAUAAAUGUAUAAACUAACUUCA